UGGGGAAUAUUGCACAAUGGGCGAAAGCCUGAUGCAGCAACGCCGCGUGAGUGAUGAAGGCCUUCGGGUUGUAAAGCUCUGUCUUUUGGGACGAUAAUGACGGUACCAAAGGAGGAAGCCACGGCUAACUACGUGCCAGCAGCCGCGGUAAUACGUAGGUGGCAAGCGUUGUCCGGAUUUACUGGGCGUAAAGGAUGCGUAGGCGGAUUUUUAAGUGAGAUGUGAAAUACCGGGCUUAACUUGGGUGCUGCAUUUCAAACUGGGAAUCUAGAGUGCGGGAGAGGAGAAUGGAAUUCCUAGUGUAGCGGUGAAAUGCGUAGAGAUUAGGAAGAACACCGGUGGCGAGGCGAUUCUCUGGACCGUAACUGACGCUGAGGCAUGAAAGCGUGGGUAGCAAACAGGAUUAGAUACCCUGGUAGUCCACGCCGUAAACGAUGAGUACUAGGUGUAGGAGGUAUCGACCCCUUCUGUGCCGCAGUUAACACAAUAAGUACUCCGCCUGGGAAGUACGAUCGCAAGAUU
RNAcentral lists this ribosomal RNA (522 nucleotides) under uncultured bacterium. RNAcentral describes it as "partial 16S ribosomal RNA". It matches the Rfam family "Bacterial small subunit ribosomal RNA", at positions 355 to 895 of the family's 1533-position model. The record is from RNAcentral.